GAAUAUUGGACAAUGGGCGAAAGCCUGAUCCAGCAAUGCCGCGUGAGUGAUGAAGGCCUUAGGGUUGUAAAGCUCUUUUACCCGGGAUGAUAAUGACAGUACCGGGAGAAUAAGCCCCGGCUAACUCCGUUCCAGCAGCCGCGGUAAUACGGAGGGGGCUAGCGUUGUUCAGAAUUACUGGGCGUAAAGCGCACGUAGGCGGCUUUGUAAGUCAGAGGUGAAAGCCCGGAGCUUAACUCCGGAAUUGCCUUUGAGACUGCAUCGCUUGAAUCCGGGAGAGGUGAGUGGAAUUCCGAGUGUAGAGGUGAAAUUCGUAGAUAUUCGGAAGAACACCAGUGGCGAAGGCGGCUCACUGGACCGGUAUUGACGCUGAGGUGCGAAAGCGUGGGGAGCAAACAG
This 399-nucleotide ribosomal RNA is filed under the name uncultured bacterium. RNAcentral describes it as "bacterial SSU rRNA". It matches the Rfam family "Bacterial small subunit ribosomal RNA", at positions 359 to 775 of the family's 1533-position model. The record is from RNAcentral.